Long non-coding RNA from Lolium rigidum, 1385 nucleotides. RefSeq lists it as uncharacterized. The record is from RefSeq and is a predicted model, not a curated record. The transcript is spliced from 6 exons. Lineage: Eukaryota; Viridiplantae; Streptophyta; Magnoliopsida; Poales; Poaceae.
GGAGAUCAGGGCCAGCGAAUCUGUGGAAAGAUGAUGGACAUCGAUGUGUGCUCCUCGUGGGUCCAAGAGCAGCGACGAGGAGCUCAUGGUGCAAGAGCUUUUCUACACGCAGCACGGCUCUCCUAUUGCGGUUUGUGACCCAGCCGUUGGCGCUGCUGCUGCAGGGAGGUCGUCCUGCAUGAGGUCAAGCUACAUGCCCCCAAGCCCAACCGCCGCGACCUCGACACCUCCGUUCAGAAUACGUCGAUACUCUCAUAAAAGGGAGGAGAGACCAGGCCACCAAAGCCUCAACGGUAUGAUGAUGGUGUUCUCCCCGUGGCUCCGAGGAGCUCACGCUUCUUCCCUGCCACACCAAGGGAUUGAAUAUGUUUUGCUGGAAGAAAGUGAGGGGACAAUGUAGUUUUCUGUGGUCAUCGAUGAUCACUACCAAUACUCCAUGACCUACAUAUAGUACACGUGACACAGUUUGCCUCUAAUGCUUCUGUCUGGCGUAACACAAACUUUCUGGCUGUGGUGGUGGUGCUGCUGCUGCUGCCGCCGCAAGGAGGCCGUCCUGCACGAGGUCAAGCUGCUUGGCCCCAAUGGCCAAUUGCGGCGAGCUCGACGCCUCCGUUUAGAACAUGUCGACAUCGGCCCCCAAAGAUAUCUGACACCAAGAGGGUGAAUAGUCUUGUGAGUGACAGCCAGAUAUGGACGCACAAUAUGCCUGUGGCUUUGGCUGAGUUUUGCGUGUGAGCCACAUGUAGGUGCACAAUAUGCCCACGGCUUCGACUGCUUACCUUUGCCCUCGCCGCCGUCGUCGUGUCAUGCUGCUCGGCCGUGGACGAACAUGACUACUCGUGUGAUGGCAGCGAGUUCACCGUGCCACAACCACAGGGGUGGUGAUGUCUCAUCCUCGGCUGCAAUUGCCCUCUGGGACUGAAUUUGUUUUGAGGGAAGAAAGUCAGGGGAAAAUGUAAUUUGAUGUGGUCAUCAAUGGUCAUUACCAACUCUCAAUCAACAGAACAUGUUACACGCGGCAUGGCUUGCCUCUAGCUCCUUCGGUCUGGUGUGGCCAACCCAUUCCUGCUCUGGUGGUCCUGCUGCAGAGAGGUCUAGCUGCUUGGCCCAAAGCCCAACCACAGCUAUCUCGCCGCCACCAUUCAGAACACGUUGACAUUGGCACCAGAAGAUAUCUGACACCAAGAGGGUGAAAAGUCUUGUGAGUGACAGCCAGAUAUAGAUGUACACAAUGCCCUCGGCCUUGACUGCUUACCUCCGCCCUUGCUCCCGUACUCCCAUCCCGCUGCUCAGCCGUGGACGGACAUGACUACUGGUGUGAUGGUGGUGGUUCACCGUGCCACAACCAGGGGGCGGUGAUGUCUCGACCAUGGAUCCAAUUUCCC